CCUACGGGAGGCAGCAGUGGGGAAUAUUGGACAAUGGGCGAAAGCCUGAUCCAGCCAUGCCGCGUGUUGAAGAAGGCCUUUUGGUUGUAAAGCACUUUAAGCGAGGAGGAGGCUACUUAGAUUAAUACUCUAGGAUAGUGGACGUUACUCGCAGAAUAAGCACCGGCUAACUCUGUGCCAGCCAGCCGCGGUAAUACAGAGGGUGCGAGCGUUAAUCGGAUUUACUGGGCGUAAAGCGUGCGUAGGCGGCUUCUUAAGUCGGAUGUGAAAUCCCUGAGCUUAACUUAGGAAUUGCAUUCGAUACUGGGAAGCUAGAGUAUGGGAGAGGAUGGUAGAAUUCCAGGUGUAGCGGUGAAAUGCGUAGAGAUCUGGAGGAAUACCGAUGGCGAAGGCAGCCAUCUGGCCUAAUACUGACGCUGAGGUACGAAAGCAUGGGGAGCAAACAGGAUUAGAUACCCUGGUAGUCCAUGCCGUAAACGAUGUCUACUAGCCGUUGGGGCCUUUGAGGCUUUAGUGGCGCAGCUAACGCGAUAAGUAGACCGCCUGGGGAGUACGGUCGCAAGACUAAAACUCAAAUGAAUUGACGGGGGCCCGCACAAGCGGUGGAGCAUGUGGUUUAAUUCGAUGCAACGCGAAGAACCUUACCUGGUCUUGACAUAGUAAGAACUUUCCAGAGAUGGAUUGGUGCCUUCGGGAACUUACAUACAGGUGCUGCAUGGCUGUCGUCAGCUCGUGUCGUGAGAUGUUGGGUUAAGUCCCGCAACGAGCGCAACCCUUUUCCUUAUUUGCCAGCGGGUUAAGCCGGGAACUUUAAGGAUACUGCCAGUGACAAACUGGAGGAAGGCGGGGACGACGUCAAGUCAUCAUGGCCCUUACGACCAGGGCUACACACGUGCUACAAUGGUCGGUACAAAGGGUUGCUACCUAGCGAUAGGAUGCUAAUCUCAAAAAGCCGAUCGUAGUCCGGAUUGGAGUCUGCAACUCGACUCCAUGAAGUCGGAAUCGCUAGUAAUCGCGGAUCAGAAUGCCGCGGUGAAUACGUUCCCGGGCCUUGUACACACCGCCCGUCACACCAUGGGAAUUUGUUGCACCAGAAGUAGGUAGUCUAACCGCAAGGAGGACGC
Molecule: ribosomal RNA, 1124 nt
Filed under: Acinetobacter johnsonii
Lineage: Bacteria; Pseudomonadati; Pseudomonadota; Gammaproteobacteria; Moraxellales; Moraxellaceae
Description: bacterial SSU rRNA
Rfam family: Bacterial small subunit ribosomal RNA
Source: RNAcentral